RNAcentral lists this ribosomal RNA (403 nucleotides) under uncultured bacterium. Its description in RNAcentral is "bacterial SSU rRNA". It matches the Rfam family "Bacterial small subunit ribosomal RNA", at positions 355 to 774 of the family's 1533-position model. The record is from RNAcentral.
UGAGGAAUAUUGCACAAUGGGCGCAAGUCUGAUGCAGCAACGCCGCGUGCGGGACGAAGGCCUUCGGGUCGUAAACCGCUUUUCUGGGGGAAGAGCAAGGACGGUACCUCAGGAAUAAGUCUCGGCUAACUACGUGCCAGCAGCCGCGGUAAAACGUAGGAGGCGAGCGUUAUCCGGAUUUACUGGGCGUAAAGCGCACGCAGGCGGCUCUGUUAGUCGGACGUGAAAGCUCUCGGCUUAACCGGGAGAGGCCGUUCGAUACUGCGGGGCUUGAGGUAGGGAGAGGAAUGCGGAAUUCCCGGUGUAGUGGUGGAAUGCGUAGAUAUCGGGAGGAACACCUGUGGCGAAAGCGGCAUUCUGGCCCUCACCUGACGCUGAGGUGCGAAAGCGUGGGGAGCAAACA